AGUGAACGCUGGCGGUAGGCCUAACACAUGCAAGUCGAACGGCAGCACAGUAAGAGCUUGCUCUUACGGGUGGCGAGUGGCGGGCGGGUGAGGAAUACAUCGGAAUCUACUUUUUCGUGGGGGAUAACGUAGGGAAACUUACUCUAAUACCGCAUACGACCUACGGGUGAAAGCAGGGGAUCUUCGGACCUUGCGCGAUUGAAUGAGCCGAUGUCGGAUUAGCUGGUUGGCGGGGUAAAGGCCCACCAAGGCGACGAUCCGUAGCUGGUCUGGGUGGAUGAUCAGCCACACUGGAACUGAGACACGGUCCAGACGCAUACGGGAGGCAGCCGUGGGGAAUAUUGGACAAUGGGUGCAAACCUGAUCCAGCCAUACCGCGUGGGUGAAGAGGGCCUUCGGGUUGUAAAGCCCUUUUGUCGGGAAAGAAACGCAGCAGGUUAAUAACGCGCUGUUCUGACGGUAACCAAAGAAUAAGCACCGGCUAACUUCGUG
Molecule: ribosomal RNA, 492 nt
Filed under: uncultured bacterium
Lineage: Bacteria
Description: partial 16S ribosomal RNA
Rfam family: Bacterial small subunit ribosomal RNA
Source: RNAcentral